GCAAGUCGAGCGCUCUCUUCGGAGGGAGCGGCGGACGGGUUAGUAACGCGUGGGAACGUACCCAGAUCUAAGGGAUAGCCACUGGAAACGGUGAGUAAUACCUUAUACGCCCUUCGGGGGAAAGAUUUAUCGGAUUUGGAUCGGCCCGCGUUAGAUUAGAUAGUUGGUGGGGUAAUGGCCUACCAAGGCAACGAUCAGUAGCUGGUCUGAGAGGACGAUC
RNAcentral lists this ribosomal RNA (220 nucleotides) under uncultured bacterium. RNAcentral's name for it is "partial 16S ribosomal RNA". It matches the Rfam family "Bacterial small subunit ribosomal RNA", at positions 57 to 305 of the family's 1533-position model. The record is from RNAcentral.